AUAAAAGCAGGCUGCCUGAGCCACCAGUGGCAACCCUCUGGGGUCCCCUUGCACGCUGUGGAAGCUUUAUUGUUUCACUCUUUGCAAUAAAUCUUGCUGCUGCUCACUCUUUGGGUCCACACUGCCUUUAUGAGCUGUAACACUCACGAUGAAGUUCUGCAGCUUCACUCCUGAAGCCAGCGACACCACAAACCCACCAGGAGGAAGGAACAACUCCAGAUGCACCUCCUUAAGAGCUGUGACACUCACCGCGAAGGUCCGCAGCUUCACUCCUGAGCCGGCGAGACCACGAACCCCACCAGAAGGAAGAAACUCUGAACACCUCCGAACAUCAGAAGGAACAAACUCUGGACACGCUGCCUUUAGGAACUGUAACACUCACCGCGAGGGUCCCCGGCUUCAUUCUUGAAGUCAGUGAGACCAAAAUCCCACCAAUUCUGGACACACUAGGAAGACUGAGACCCAAUUGGACCAUCAAAGAACGACCCAAUCACCAGCACAAAGCUAAUAAACUUGUAAGCUUUCAAUACAAAUAACGUUGGAACAUAGCUAGGAAGACUUCAGGAGACAGAUUCUCUUUGCAGAGUCUCUGGGAGCCUUUCUCUCUACCAUGUGGAUGCCUGCAGAAGCCUGCACAGUCAUUCUGCCACAUGCACUGUGGAUACACAGCUGAUUUACAGCUGGGCUGAAAAAGCCUCAUCUCUGUUUCUGGGGAUUCCAGGAUAUCCUGUUUUUGACUCUUAGCUAAGACGGAAAAAGUGAUGCUCACGCCAGAGAAGAGUCAGCCCAAGGUCAUCUAGGAUCAGUGGCACACCUAGGAUUCAGGCCCAAGGACCCCCAGCUGACCUGCCUUCCCUGGAACCUCACUGUGAGUUCUUUAACCAUGGCUGUGUUUUCAAAGUUGAACUGGGGCUGCUGUUGAUACCACCUUUAAAUGCCUGCUUUUGUCAUGGAGACCAUGAGAACUUCACUCUUCAGCUGGCAAUUUACCUGGCUGCACAGUGCUCAGGCACACACAGGCUUCAGGGCUACAAGGUAAAGGAUUUGCCAAGGCCAAGUGCUGAAACCCACUUCUUGUUUUGAAGCAAAUGAGAACUUCCACCUGUAUUUGACCUGGGUCAUGAUCUGGUACUUUUUUACAGCAAACUCAUACUUAACAAAUUUUAAAGAUUUUUUAAAGAAUGAACUAAUGAAUUGGGUUAGUAAGGGUGGUUGCCUUGUCUUGCUCAUUGCAAGAAUGAAAGCUGUAUAAGUUGAAUGAAAAUAUAAAUAUGACUUUGAAGGUGGGUAAGUCUUACCUUCCCUUCUAGCAGUCUCUGAAGUUGCUUGAACAAUGGCUUAUUUUAUUAUUAGUUGGGACUCUUUGGUUGCAAGUAAUGGAAGUAUACUUGAACUAGAUUAGCAAAAAUGUAAGGCUUGUUAUAACAUUGCACAAGCACAGAACUCGCUGCUGGCUGGUAAGAUAUAGGACUACUGCAUUAUGGGGAUUUUUGAAUUCUAAUCUACUAGAGGGACCAUUGUUUUAAAAGUUCUUUAGAAGUUAUUCUUGGAACUACUAUUUAUACACGAAAGAAUGUGGAUGGAUCUCAAAAGCAUUAUGGCAAAAGACAGAAACAAAAGGCUACAUAUUGUUUCAUUCCAUUCACCUAACAUUUUAAAAAGCACAAAACUAUAGCAGUAAAAAUGAAUCAGUGGUCCCCAGAGACUAGGGGUAAAGGAGCAACUAUAAAAAGGAGACUUUUGGGAUAAUGGAACUAUUUUAAAUAUUGACUAUGGUUGUGGUCACAAGACUGCAAAACUGUAUACAGUUAUUAAUAUUUAUAGAACAAUACACUUCAAAAUGGGGGAUUUUAUUGAAUGCAAAUUAUACCUCAAUAAACCUGAUUGCUUUUUAAAAUAUAUAUAUAUAUAUAAAUAUGAAAUAGAUUAUUUUUAGUAAGUGACUAGAAAAAGGGCAAGCAAAAUAAUCGGUAACUUAGUAGGCAGCAAAUUAUUGUUCAUUUAUUUAACUCAGGUUUUAGAAAGUCCAUUGUGAAGCUAGUAAAAGAUUGUGAUUUGAAUUAUUUCUCAAAUUAUAGAUGAUUUUUAAUGAAGACAACAGAUAUACCUAAUAAAUUAUUUUUAAUUGAUCCAUGGAUACUAUCUUAUCUUUAUUCACACUUAGAUAUAAGAAAACACUAAAGAUAGACUUAGCAUGUUUCUAAAAUUAAUUUCUCUAAUUUGCAACACAGCACAUAAUAGUCAUGAUAAUUAAGCCAACUGAUAUCAUAAUUUAUGAUUACUUCUUGUCAGAAACUGUGAUAUUAUUUCCAUUGAGUAGGAAGUGGGGAGUGGGGCAAUUAAACUUAGUGCUAGAAUUAUUCUCCUUUUAAGCAUAAUUCAUCAAAAUCAAGAGUGAGCUUCAAAAUGACCAGUAAUAAAAGUAGGAAGAGAGAUGAUUUUCUAUAAAGUGCAAUUUAUGGAUUCUGGAUUCACAGAGAAAAUAAACACAUAGUGAAUUAGGUAAAAAUAAAAGAGGUAAAAUAUCCUGCAUGUAUUCUAUUAACAAGAUCAAAAGAAAACAAAAUUUACAUUACCGUAGAGAUCUUUAUAGCACCCCGUUUGUUAAAUUGAUAUUGUUGUGUUAAAAAAUUGACACAGACAUAUUAAUGGCUACAAAGAAAGAAAUAAAGAACUCCUUCUCACUUUUAAAUAGAUUCUGGAUUCUAGAGGAUAGUCCACACUUUCUUGUGCAAUUGUUUAAAUGUUGAAAUUGCUGACAUUAAGUGUGUAUGCAUUUACAUGUUGAAAUGCCACACAAAGGGUUUAUUAAUUUACUCUUUUUAUAAGCAAUGUAAGUCCUUGGUCUCUACAGUCUUAUCAAUAUCAAGUAUUUUGUACAUUACUGAUUUUGCCAAUUUAGUAUAUGAAGAAAAAGCCCACAAUAUAAUCUUUAUUUUGUUCAGUGGUAAGCAAAGUUAAACAUAUGUUUUUUAAAAGUCCCAUUUUGCGUCUUGAUUUCAAAUCAUCUGGUCAUAUUCCCAAAUAUUUAUAUGUUGCAUUCUUUGAUUUUUAUUCAUUUAUGGAAAAGUUUCGGGGAUAAAGAAGGAUUAGUAUUUUCUGUGUUCCACAUGGCUGUUCUAGACCAUUGAAACUCCUGUCCACAUAGUGUCUUAUUUUUUUUAAUAGUUUCACAUAGAAAGUAUGUUAAUAUACAUGAUCUUUUAAUUAUUUCCACAUAAAAGGUAUUUAGAAUUUAUCAUUAUUAUCAUCAUUUCAACUUUAGACUUAAAUAAACUGAACCUCAAAGUGGUCAAUGACUUGACCGAGUCCCAAGUAGAAAUGAAGCUGAUUUUCUGGCUUCUUUCGUAUUUUUUCAAACUACAUAUAUUCAUUACAUUUAUUUUACUAACAAAGUAUUGCUUUAUCCUUUCUUAUGAACCAGCAUUUUUAUUGUUUUUUUAAUUAAAUUUAUUCUUAUUAAUAAAAAAACAAGUCAAUUCCUUGGAAAUUUUUGCCGAAACCUGUUUUACAUUUCAAUAUCUCCAUAAUUGGCCAUAGGCUUUAAUGACAUUGAACUCCUUCUUUCUCUGUUGCUUCAGGCUUGUCCAUAGAAGUAAAUAUUCGCAUGAUUUUAACUUUCCAAACUGGCCCGAAAUAAUUUGUCUUAACUAUUGUCAAAUUAUUACCCACUUUGUAAAGCUGUGUUCAGUUUCUUCUCCUCAAUGAAAACGUUCAUGGUCAUAUAAAAAUAUGAUUACAAUUUUUCUCACUCUCUGAGUUACCUUGUAUUUUAUAAUAUUUUCAUGUAAGAAAAUGAGCUGUCCAUUUUAAAUGUCCAUCAUAAUUCUUCAAAUAAUGUUUAUAAAAUUAUACUCACUGGCUAGUAAUAUGCAGUUUGGCAACAGAAUGAGACUAUAUACAAAUUAAUAAAGUCAGUUGUUGGUCACAGUUAACAAUAAUUUUUCAUAAGCUUGGAGUUGAGGAAAUUCAAAGGCACUCAGUAUUUUUUUAAAUUAAGAAUUGCAAGAAGAAAGAGACAGAAAAUGAGUAUGUUAUUCAAAAUGAAAAGAUCAAUGCAAUCAUCCAAACCCAGUUAAGACUGUGUAACAGUGCAAAACAAGGUGUUUCUAAUAUUUCUAGAAUAUCACUGUCUUUCCCUUAUAGUAGGCUCAAGAUUUCUUUAAAUGACGUAGGGAAAGUAACUUUCCAUCGGCAAGACAGAAAAUAGCUAUUGGGAGAUUAGGGUAGGAGACGGAAGGAAAGCAAAGGGAAGGGAAGGGGAGGGGAGGGGAGGGAAGGGGAGGGGAAGGAGAAUGGCAGGAAAGAACAAGAAAAGGAGGGAGAAAGAACUAAGAAAGGAAGAGAGGAAGGGAGGGGAGGAGAGAGAGAGGAAAAGAGGAUGAAAAAUGAGAGGUGGAAUAACAGCUAGACAGGAAAGGAGAAUGAGAAAAGUAAGACGCAAACAGGGAGAGCAAAAAUUAAAGUAACCUAGAUGUGGCAGUCAAGAGAUUGUGAAAGAUGUGUAUACAAAAGAGGGGCCAUACCACAGCAGUAACUUGACCACAGCAGUAACUCAAUGCAUGAUUUGUGUUCCUGUAUCUUUUAAUGGCACAAGUCCUGGGACCUUUGAUGAGGCUCUGUCUAAUCAUAGAAGGACUCUGCCACCAGAAUAACCUAGUUUGCAUAAACUUUCCUCGUGUUUUCUUUCACUCCGCUAUCCAGACUGUAGGGUGUGCCUUACAUUAUUUAGCUGAAUUGUCAACAGGUGUACUGAGUAAACUGUUUGAUUUAUAAAUAUCUCUGUAUCUAAUCAUGUAUCAAUUUCUCAAAUUAUGGUGUUUCACAUAUUGGUUUCUCUAAAGAUUAUUUCAUUUCACAAUUUGAGGCAGUUUUGUGAAAAGAAACAUAUACAUAUAUUUUAAUUUCUGCCUGAAAUAUACAACAUUGAAUUUCAUUCAAAUAUUUAAUGCCUUCACAAAUAAAACGUAGCUAGUGUUUCAUGUUGCUGUUUAGAAGUUUAUUGAAAUAUGGCAGAUAAAAUGCUAUAGAGAUAUUAUUAUGUUUAAUAAUUCAGUAGUUGCUUCAAAUAUGCUAUAAAGUGUUGGAAUAUGGCCAGUUAACUUUAAAAUAUAGAAUAAUAAAAUAAUUGGAUUUAAAAUUGCUUCAUAUUAUUUUUGUUUAAUAAAAAGACAAUCCAUGUCUUAGGUGUACCCUUUUAAAUCCUAUCUACUUUCUGAUUCUUAGGAUUCUUAAAAAGAAUAUUGUAAUGACUGAACAGAAAUAUUAUAUCUGAUUUUGUACUAGAAAAUUGAAGCAGCAUGGGAUCAUGGCUAAGUAAGAGCUUUAUAGCAGUAGCAAAUAGUUACAUGAUUACUGAAGUAUAGCUGUCACUGGAAAUAGAAAGCUGCAAGGAACCUAUCAUAAAAGUAGCAAUUUCAGUUUCACUAGUGUUUAAAAUUAAAGCCUAGUAAUUCAUUGUGGAUGUAUUUCCUCAAUGGUUUCAGGAAAGUAUCCUGCUUUCACUGAGCAUUUUCACUUUGUUCCUUAUGUGUUUCCUUUCAUAAUGAAAAAGUUGUAAUUUCAGAUUGGUAAAACAAUUGUUAGGACUUUGUGAACAAACACUCAAAAAGUUUUGUGUCAUGAAAUAAUGAUUAGUCAAUUGUAUUUAUUGUUAUAACACACUAUGUUAAAAAUUCACUGCCAGAUGAUCCACAUUAUGUUAGGUAAACCAAUUUAAUCAACAGUUUCCUCUUUUGACAUAUAAUUAGCUGAUGGAUGAAUUUAGAGGUGUAAAAAACCUUCAAAUAAAAGCGUUUAUGGAAAAAAAUAAUGGCUGUUUAUGGAGUUUUGCAUACAUGUGUUACUGUCUUAAGAAGCUGAAAUGAGAUUUAAG
RNAcentral lists this long non-coding RNA (5875 nucleotides) under Homo sapiens (human). RNAcentral describes it as "HSALNT0063447". The record is from RNAcentral. Lineage: Eukaryota; Metazoa; Chordata; Mammalia; Primates; Hominidae.